GAUGAACGCUGGCGGCGUGCCUAAUACAUGCAAGUCGAGCGAACAGACGAGGAGCUUGCUCCUCUGACGUUAGCGGCGGACGGGUGAGUAACACGUGGAUAACCUACCUAUAAGACUGGGAUAACUUCGGGAAACCGGAGCUAAUACCGGAUAAUAUAUUGAACCGCAUGGUUCAAUAGUGAAAUACGGUUUUGCUGUCACUUAUCGAUGGAUCCGCGCCGUAUUAGCUAGUUGGUAAGGUAACGGCUUACCAAGGCAACGAUGCGUAGCCGACCGGGGAGGGUGAUCGGCCACACUGGAGCUGGGACACCGUCCAGACUACUACGGGACGCAGCAGUAGGGAAUCUUCCGCAAUGGGCGAAAGCCUGACGGAGCAACGCCAAGUGAGUGAUGAAGGUCUUCGGAUCGUAAAACUCUGUUAUUAGGGAAGAACAAAUGUGUAAGGAACUAUGCACGGCUUGACGGUACCUAAUCAGAAAGCCACGGCUAACUACGUG
This 497-nucleotide ribosomal RNA is filed under the name uncultured bacterium. RNAcentral's name for it is "partial 16S ribosomal RNA". It matches the Rfam family "Bacterial small subunit ribosomal RNA", at positions 28 to 507 of the family's 1533-position model. The record is from RNAcentral.